RNAcentral lists this ribosomal RNA (492 nucleotides) under uncultured bacterium. Its description in RNAcentral is "partial 16S ribosomal RNA". It matches the Rfam family "Bacterial small subunit ribosomal RNA", at positions 29 to 507 of the family's 1533-position model. The record is from RNAcentral.
AGUGAACGCUGGCGAUAGGCCUAACACAUGCAAGUCGAACGGCAGCACAGUAAGAGCUUGCUCUUACGGGUGGCGAGUGGCGGACGGGUGAGGAAUACAUCGGAAUCUACUUUUUCGUGGGGGAUAACGUAGGGAAACUUACGCUAAUACCGCAUACGACCUACGGGUGAAAGCAGGGGAUCUUCGGACCUUGCGCGAUUGAAUGAGCCGAUGUCGGAUUAGCUAGUUGGCGGGGUAAAGGCCCACCAAGGCGACGAUCCGUAGCUGGUCUGAGAGGAUGAUCAGCCACACUGGAACUGAGACACGGUCCAGACUCCUACGGGAGGCAGCAGUGGGGAACAUUGGACAAUGGGCGCAAGCCUGAUCCAGCCAUACCGCGUGGGUGAAGAAGGCCUUCGGGUUGUAAAGCCCUUUUGUUGGGAAAGAAAAGCAGCAGGUUAAUACCCCGCUGUUCUGACGGUACCCAAAGAAUAAGCACCGGCUAACUUCGUG